RNAcentral lists this ribosomal RNA (759 nucleotides) under Escherichia coli. RNAcentral describes it as "partial 23S ribosomal RNA". It matches the Rfam family "Bacterial large subunit ribosomal RNA", at positions 418 to 1177 of the family's 2925-position model. Lineage: Bacteria; Pseudomonadati; Pseudomonadota; Gammaproteobacteria; Enterobacterales; Enterobacteriaceae. The record is from RNAcentral.
CGGGACACGUGGUAUCCUGUCUGAAUAUGGGGGGACCAUCCUCCAAGGCUAAAUACUCCUGACUGACCGAUAGUGAACCAGUACCGUGAGGGAAAGGCGAAAAGAACCCCGGCGAGGGGAGUGAAAAAGAACCUGAAACCGUGUACGUACAAGCAGUGGGAGCACGCUUAGGCGUGUGACUGCGUACCUUUUGUAUAAUGGGUCAGCGACUUAUAUUCUGUAGCAAGGUUAACCGAAUAGGGGAGCCGAAGGGAAACCGAGUCUUAACUGGGCGUUAAGUUGCAGGGUAUAGACCCGAAACCCGGUGAUCUAGCCAUGGGCAGGUUGAAGGUUGGGUAACACUAACUGGAGGACCGAACCGACUAAUGUUGAAAAAUUAGCGGAUGACUUGUGGCUGGGGGUGAAAGGCCAAUCAAACCGGGAGAUAGCUGGUUCUCCCCGAAAGCUAUUUAGGUAGCGCCUCGUGAAUUCAUCUCCGGGGGUAGAGCACUGUUUCGGCAAGGGGGUCAUCCCGACUUACCAACCCGAUGCAAACUGCGAAUACCGGAGAAUGUUAUCACGGGAGACACACGGCGGGUGCUAACGUCCGUCGUGAAGAGGGAAACAACCCAGACCGCCAGCUAAGGUCCCAAAGUCAUGGUUAAGUGGGAAACGAUGUGGGAAGGCCCAGACAGCCAGGAUGUUGGCUUAGAAGCAGCCAUCAUUUAAAGAAAGCGUAAUAGCUCACUGGUCGAGUCGGCCUGCGCGGAAGAUGUAACG